GCCUUGAUGGUCUAGUGGUAUGAUUCGCCCUUAGGGAGUUAAAUUCACAUGGGCGAGGUCCCGCGUUCAAUUCGCGGUUGAGGCC
Molecule: non-coding RNA, 85 nt
Organism: Ceratobasidium sp. 370
Lineage: Eukaryota; Fungi; Basidiomycota; Agaricomycetes; Cantharellales; Ceratobasidiaceae
Source: the annotation of a GenBank genome assembly